RNAcentral lists this ribosomal RNA (430 nucleotides) under uncultured bacterium. Its description in RNAcentral is "bacterial SSU rRNA". It matches the Rfam family "Bacterial small subunit ribosomal RNA", at positions 355 to 776 of the family's 1533-position model. The record is from RNAcentral.
UGGGGAAUCUUGCGCAAUGGACGAAAGUCUGACGCAGCAACGCCGCGUGAGUGAAGAAGGCCUUCGGGUUGUAAAGCUCUGUCGCUUGGGACGAAAAUUUUGUGGGUGAAUAGCCCAUGAAACUGACGGUACCGAGAAAGGAAGCACCGGCUAACUCUGUGCCAGCAGCCGCGGUAAUACAGAGGGUGCAAGCGUUGCUCGGAAUUAUUGGGCGUAAAGGGCAGGUAGGUGGUCUCAUUUGUCUGGGGUGAAAGCCUUGAGCUUAACUCAAGAAGUGCCCCGGAAACGGUGAGACUCGAGUACUGGAGAGGGUCGUGGAAUUCCCGGUGUAGCGGUGAAAUGCGUAGAGAUCGGGAGGAACACCAGAGGCGAAGGCGGCGACCUGGACAGUAACUGACACUCAACUGCGAAAGCGUGGGGAGCAAACAGG